RNAcentral lists this long non-coding RNA (543 nucleotides) under Triticum aestivum (bread wheat). RNAcentral's name for it is "long non-coding RNA (TAES_LNC002839)". Lineage: Eukaryota; Viridiplantae; Streptophyta; Magnoliopsida; Poales; Poaceae. The record is from RNAcentral.
CGAAUUCUGAAGCAACCUUAAAAGUUAAAUAAAUCUCAUCAAGUAAACUAUUUCAGACAGAUCCAGAGUGCCAUUGUUUCCAUUUUAUAUGAACACCAAAAGUCCAAAACAGAGAGUUUGAAUUAUUCAACAAGCGAGACUGAAGUGUUCCCUGCAUAAGGAGCAGGGGGGUCAAGUCUCUGCGCAAUUACACACUCAUAGUCUCAUACACAAUUGCAGUCCAGGGACACCUGGCGCUUACAUUAGUCAACAGCAUUAUAGGCCGCCACAUGGUUUGGUUGAUACUCCAGUAGAAUCGCCCACGUGCUUACCUAAUAAAUACUACAAUAACCCAUAGACGUGACCAUAAACAAGAUCAUUGUCAUGCACGCAUAGCUGUACUCUUACUUCUUUAUUAGUAACGCAAUCUAAUCAUCAAGACCUGAUUCGUCGCAGUCCGGGAAAUUUCCACGGCCAGACGGCCGAUUUCCGCGAAAGGUGAUACGAGAGGAUCGGUGGACCGACCUUGGAGGUGCGGGUCGACGACGACGUCGCGGAAGUGGA